UUUGGGGUCAGUAACCCCUUUUGGGGUCCGUAACCCAUUUUGGGGUCUGUAACCCAGUUUUGGGGUCAGUAGCCCAGUUUUGGGGUCAGUAACCCUUUUUGGGGUGCUAGCUCAGUUUUUGGGGUCAGUAACCCAUUUUGGGGUCAUUUUUGGGGUGCUAGCUGAGUUUUGGGGUGCCAGCUCAGUUUUGGGGUGCUAGCAGAGUUUUUGGGGUCAGUAACCCAUUUUGGGGUCAGUUUUGGGGUGCUAGCUGAGUUUUUGGGGUCAUUUUUGGGGUGCCAGCUCAGUUUUUGGGGUCAGUAAUGCAGUUUUUGGGGUGCCAGCUCAGUUUUGGGGUUCCAGCUGAGUUUGUGGGGUGGCUGCGCUGGCCCUGCCCCGCCGGGGUUUGGGGUCUCUCUCGUGUCUCUGAUAAAGGCUAUGGGACAGCCCCCGGGCCGGGGGGGCUUUGCCGGGGCCGAGCGGCCCCCCAACCCCUGCCCCCCAAAUCGGGGGGCCCGGGACCCCCCGCUCGGCCCCG
Long non-coding RNA from Neopelma chrysocephalum (saffron-crested tyrant-manakin), 517 nucleotides. RefSeq lists it as uncharacterized. The record is from RefSeq and is a predicted model, not a curated record. Lineage: Eukaryota; Metazoa; Chordata; Aves; Passeriformes; Pipridae. The transcript is spliced from 4 exons.